AACUAGUAUUAGAGGCACUGCCUGCCCAGUGACAAUAGUUAAACGGCCGCGGUAUCUUGACCGUGCAAAGGUAGCAUAAUCACUUGUUCUCUAAAUAAGGACUUGUAUGAAUGGCCACACGAGGGUUUUACUGUCUCUUACUCUUAAUCAGUGAAAUUGACCUCCCCGUGAAGAGGCGGGGAUAACACAAUAAGACGAGAAGACCCUAUGGAGCUUUAAUUAAUCAACUCAAAAAGCAUAAAAUAAUACCACCAAGGGAUAACAAAGCUUUAUAUGAAUUGACAAUUUCGGUUGGGGUGACCUCGGAGUAUAAAAAAUCCUCCGAGUGAUUAAAACUUAGGCCUACCAGCCAAGGUGUAGUAUCACUUAUUGAUCCAAAACUUUGAUCAACGGAACAAGUUACCCUAGGGAUAACAGCGCAAUCCUAUUCUAGAGUCCAUAUCGACAAUAGGGUUUACGACCUCGAUGUUGGAUCAGGACAUCCUAAUGGUGCAGCAGCUAUUAAGGGUUCGUUUGUU
Molecule: ribosomal RNA, 518 nt
Filed under: Lissodelphis peronii (southern right whale dolphin)
Lineage: Eukaryota; Metazoa; Chordata; Mammalia; Artiodactyla; Delphinidae
Description: partial 16S ribosomal RNA
Rfam family: Bacterial large subunit ribosomal RNA
Source: RNAcentral